GUAGGGAAUAUUGGGCAAUGGAUGCAAGUCUGACCCAGCCAUGCCGCGUGGAGGAAGAAGGUCCUCUGGAUUGUAAACUCCUUUUUUGGGGGAAGAAUAGUUCUCUUGCGAGGGAAUGUGACGGUACCCUAAGAAUAAGCCACGGCUAACUACGUGCCAGCAGCCGCGGUAAUACGUAGGUGGCAAGCGUUGUCCGGAUUUAUUGGGUUUAAAGGGUGAGUAGGUGGUUUGAUAAGUCAGUGGUGAAAGCUGGUUGCUCAACAAUCAAGUUGCCAUUGAUACUGUCGGACUUGAGAGAAGUGGAGGUUCAUGGAAUGGAUGGUGUAGCGGUGAAAUGCAUAGAUAUCAUCCAGAACGUCGAUUGCGAAGGCAGUGGGCUGUACUUUAUCUGACACUGAGGCACGAAAGUGUGGGGAUCAAACAGGAUUAGAUACCCGGGUAGUCC
Molecule: ribosomal RNA, 445 nt
Filed under: uncultured bacterium
Lineage: Bacteria
Description: partial 16S ribosomal RNA
Rfam family: Bacterial small subunit ribosomal RNA
Source: RNAcentral